GAUGAACGCUAGCUACAGGCUUAACACAUGCAAGUCGAGGGGUAACGAGAGGAAAGCUUGCUUUCCUUGUCGACGACCGGCGCACGGGUGAGUAACGCGUAUCCAACCUGCCCCCAACUAGGGAAUAACCUUGCGAAAGUAAGACUACUACCCUAUAAUUUCCUCAGAUGUCAUCUGACGAGGAAUAAAGAUUUAUCGGUUGUGGAUGGGGAUGCGUCUGAUUAGCUUGUUGGCGGGGUAACGGCCCACCAAGGCAACGAUCAGUAGGGGUUCGGAGAGGAAGGUCCCCCACAUUGGAACUGAGACACGUUCCAAACUCUUACGGGAGGCAGCAGUGAGGAAUAUUGGUCAAGGGGCGGAAGCCUGAACCAGCCAAGUAGCGUGCAGGAUGACGGCCCUAUGGGUUGUAAACUGCUUUUAUACAGGAAUAAAGUUAGCCACGUGUGGUUAUUUGUAGGUACUGUAUGAAUAAGGACCGGCUAAUUCCGUGCCAGCCGCCGCCGUAA
This 506-nucleotide ribosomal RNA is filed under the name uncultured bacterium. RNAcentral's name for it is "partial 16S ribosomal RNA". It matches the Rfam family "Bacterial small subunit ribosomal RNA", at positions 28 to 523 of the family's 1533-position model. The record is from RNAcentral.